RNAcentral lists this ribosomal RNA (712 nucleotides) under uncultured bacterium. RNAcentral describes it as "bacterial SSU rRNA". It matches the Rfam family "Bacterial small subunit ribosomal RNA", at positions 111 to 823 of the family's 1533-position model. The record is from RNAcentral.
UAACACGUAUGCAACCUGCCCUCUUCAGGGGGACAACCUUCCGAAAGGGAGGCUAAUCCCGCGUAUAUCGGUUUCGGGCAUCCGAGAUCGAGGAAAGAUUCAUCGGAAGAGGAUGGGCAUGCGGCGCAUUAGCUUGACGGCGGGGUAACGGCCCACCGUGGCGACGAUGCGUAGGGGUUCUGAGAGGAAGGUCCCCCACACUGGUACUGAGACACGGACCAGACUCCUACGGGAGGCAGCAGUGAGGAAUAUUGGUCAAUGGGAGAGAUCCUGAACCAGCCAAGCCGCGUGAGGGAAGACGGCCCUAUGGGUUGUAAACCUCUUUUGUCGGAGAACAAAACCCGGGACGUGUCCCGGACUGCGUGUAUCCGAAGAAAAAGCAUCGGCUAACUCCGUGCCAGCAGCCGCGGUAAUACGGAGGAUGCGAGCGUUAUCCGGAUUUAUUGGGUUUAAAGGGUGCGUAGGCGGUCCGUUAAGUCAGCGGUAAAAUUGCGGGGCUCAACCCCGUCGAGCCGUUGAAACUGGCAGACUUGAGUUGGCGAGAAGUACGCGGAAUGCGCGGUGUAGCGGUGAAAUGCAUAGAUAUCGCGCAGAACUCCGAUUGCGAAGGCAGCGUACCGGCGCCACACUGACGCUGAGGCACGAAAGCGUGGGGAUCGAACAGGAUUAGAUACCCUGGUAGUCCACGCAGUAAACGAUGAAUGCUGGUUGU